This 258-nucleotide long non-coding RNA is filed under the name Lathyrus oleraceus (garden pea). Its description in RNAcentral is "Pisum sativum (pea) long non-coding RNA (PSAT_LNC014271)". Lineage: Eukaryota; Viridiplantae; Streptophyta; Magnoliopsida; Fabales; Fabaceae. The record is from RNAcentral.
UUGAAUCAUGCUUUUAUUACUCAACUUAGGUCUCUUUGUCCUUUUUCACCCUAUUUCUCUCUCAUGCAAUCACAUUAAGCCCUUUAUCCGACACACACAUUGAGGAUAUUUGUUAGUGAUUUGUGAUUUAUUUUUGCCAACGGGGUUCUGGUAUCUAAGAGGUUCACCCCUUUUCAAAUUGCCGUUACGGGGGAUCAGCCGUAAUCUGCCCUAUCAAGUUCAGAAUCAGAGACCUCAGAACCAACCAACCACAAGAAC